CGCCAGCGAUAGUGCGUCAAGAAUUCGC
This 28-nucleotide small RNA is filed under the name Bombyx mori (domestic silkworm). RNAcentral describes it as "ovarian small RNA-14349". Lineage: Eukaryota; Metazoa; Arthropoda; Insecta; Lepidoptera; Bombycidae. The record is from RNAcentral.